Long non-coding RNA from Helianthus annuus (common sunflower), 184 nucleotides. RefSeq lists it as uncharacterized. NCBI's taxonomy places the organism in Eukaryota, Viridiplantae, Streptophyta, Magnoliopsida, Asterales, Asteraceae. The record is from RefSeq and is a predicted model, not a curated record. The transcript is spliced from 3 exons.
UCACUUGAUGCGAAAAAACAAGCAUGCGAUAUUGAAAAAUCUAAGGAUGAUGGUGAUAAUAGUGUUGAAAUUAUUUCUUAUGGUGCAAUGUUCAGUCCAUACAAGUCUAAGCUUCAACGUCAAUUUAGUGAAGAGGAUCGGAAGUAUGAGAAUCAAAAGAAAAGAUCUAAGAGACUCUCUGAAU